Molecule: long non-coding RNA, 876 nt
Organism: Pelobates fuscus (common spadefoot toad)
Lineage: Eukaryota; Metazoa; Chordata; Amphibia; Anura; Pelobatidae
Exons: 3
Source: RefSeq, a predicted model, not a curated record
CCGGCCCUGAUAGUCAGUUCAACUAAUUGCUUAAUUACAACUGUUUACAUGUAUUGUUUUGUUUUACAGCUCAUACCCAAUGUGCAACAUAUAUUAUAGGACAACCCAAGCUGUAUCGCUAACAUGUGGAUGAAAUUGACACGUCGGGAGGGGGAUGAUGGGAAGGGUGAAUGCACGCAACCUGUGAUCAAUAUCAUAAGGCCAUCUAAAUGGAUGAACUUUACGUUGUGGAAGCCAAACUUGAGGCGAUUCUUAAAAACACCAAUGUUGGUCGACAAUCAAACUCAAACAAAAGGAGAUGCAAACGUAUGAUGUUGAGGUGCCUACUAGAUAUAUUGUGCUGUGGAUUUCAGUGAGUAUGCUUGAGGUGGCUGCAUGGACCUGGGGGACAUUAACAGAAAAUAGUAAAGAAGACUUUUGAAGCUGUCAUCUAAAAUCUUGGAACCCAGUUGCUCAUAUUUAUUUUUUUUAUUUUGUACUAUAUAUAUACACACACACCGAUAAACAAAUCACACGCCUUGCCUCCAUUAGGUUAGUCAUAGAUGUAACAGGAUGUUUUGGGAUCUCAGUCCCUAGAUACUCAAUACAACGAUUUAAUGUGAACAAGCAAGAAAACAGGUACACUCUACUAGGGUUGGUUUAUGUAAACAUAGAAUAUUUUGGAAAAGCUUUUUUUUUGUUCAUAGUUUAGUUUAUUAGUUACACAAGUAAUACAUACAGUCUGUUUAACAUUGCAUAUUAACUACCAGGAAUUAUGGUAACAUUUACAAAUAUGGCUGCCAGGCUUCCCAAUCCUGGCAGGUAUUAUCCCCUCUACCUAUUCCACUGCAGCUCUUCUUCCAGGCGGAUAUCCAGAACACUGCUUAUAAUGUGAUU